UGGGGAAUAUUGGACAAUGGAGGAAACUCUGAUCCAGCCAUUCUGUGUGUGUGAAGAAGGUUUUAGGACUGUAAAACACUUUUAGUAGGGAAGAAAAAAAUGACGGUACCUACAGAAGAAGCAACGGCUAAAUACGUGCCAGCAGCCGCGGUAAUACGUAUGUUGCGAGCGUUAUCCGGAAUUAUUGGGCUUAAAGGGCAUCUAGGCGGUAAGACAAGUUGAAGGUGAAAACCUGUGGCUCAACCAUAGGCUUGCCUACAAAACUGUUGAACUAGAGUACUGGAAAGGUGGGUGGAACUACACGAGUAGAGGUGAAAUUCGUAGAUAUGUGUAGGAAUGCCGAUGAUGAAGAUAACUCACUGGACAGAAACUGACGCUGAAGUGCGAAAGCUAGGGGAGCAAACAGG
This 407-nucleotide ribosomal RNA is filed under the name Verrucomicrobiota bacterium. Its description in RNAcentral is "Verrucomicrobia bacterium partial 16S ribosomal RNA". It matches the Rfam family "Bacterial small subunit ribosomal RNA", at positions 355 to 776 of the family's 1533-position model. The record is from RNAcentral. Lineage: Bacteria; Pseudomonadati; Verrucomicrobiota.